AAACACAGACAGCUGCGUUUUUGUGAUGUUCGGCACCUACCCACACCUGUUUGAAACCCGAUCUACUUUACCCACCCUUGCUCGAGUUAGAUAUGAGUUACCCACACUCAAAAGAAAUCAUUUUUAUGGUGUCAAAUCAACCGAAGAAUUAGGAACCCUGGGAGUGGUUUUGCAGGUAUCGAGCUAACUCUUUGAAGUUGGAAUGAUGAUGGCGAGGAGGAGACUUGACUAGAGAGACCAUUUAACAUUGUGUUGUUAAGUUUCACUUUGCAUAGGAUAGUUAUAGUUGUUUAUUUGUAGCUGAGUCUGUUAUUAGAUUAAUACAUUAGUUUGUUAAGUUCCUUAUUUACGGAAUGUUUUAGGAUUGACAGUUCGUUAUUCUUGAGAACAUUAAUUUUGUUUAGCUACUUGAAAUUGUGGUGAUGUAAUCUAUUGAGGACAUUUAUCAGUAUAAUACAUUUGUUCAAGUUGAACUUAA
This is a long non-coding RNA of Momordica charantia (bitter melon), 478 nucleotides long. RefSeq lists it as uncharacterized. NCBI's taxonomy places the organism in Eukaryota, Viridiplantae, Streptophyta, Magnoliopsida, Cucurbitales, Cucurbitaceae. The record is from RefSeq and is a predicted model, not a curated record.